CUAACACAACGCAAGCCCUCCUAGCCGCGCGCCGGGGAAGACACGUGCUGCCAACCGUCCAGGCUAGGCCUCCGCGCCCCGUUGCUUAGAAGCGCUCGCAGAGCUUGGAGAACGGCGCGCGGGGCUGUUUUUCCACUUCCGUGCGCUUUUCCUCCCUUUGGUUAUAAGCAUGCCCUCCUAGGUCGGGUUUUUCUGGUGCCCAGCUGUUCUCUUUUUCAGAUUGCUCUUUUUUCAUCCCCUAUUCCCAACUGAGCUGAACAGACUUUUCUACCUAACACUUUCCCAUGGUGUGUUUGAGAUUUGUGUUAUUUUUUUUCUUUAUACCUUUUUUCCUUUGCCCAAACUUUGCAAAAUAGCCAAUUUUUGGAGGGAGUUGUGAACCAGGCAAAUUUUCUGAUACUUAAAGUGUGAUCUGGAAAUACCUUUCAGCUGCAAAGAAUAUCUGUCUCUCAAAUGCUUCUUCCACUGCCAAAAAAGGGUGACGCUAAAGAUUGUUCUAAUUAUCACACAAUUGCUUUCAUCCCUCACUUCAGCAAGAUUCUGCUUAAAAUGAUUCAACAAUGUCUAGCACCAAUCAUCAAAAGAAUUACCAGAUGUCCAAGCCAGCUUCCAAAGGGGGGGUUGUCGUGGCACCUGCGACCAUAUUGCGUAUCUGUGCUGGAUAAUGGAAAAAACCUGUGAAUAACAAAGAUCAUUUACAUGUGCUUCAUCAACUAUAAGAAACUUCAUUUGUGUUGAUCAUGUGAAGCUAUGGAGAGUUCUCUAAGUCCUGAAGGUACCAAUGCAUCUUGUCAAGUUGGUGCAAUCACUGUACACAAAUCAGGAGGUCACUGUGCAAACACUAUAUUGAGACACCGGUUUGGUUUAAGAUAAAGGUGUGCAGCAAGGUUACAUUCUCUCCCCUUUCUUAUUCAACUUGUAUCCCAAAAUGAUAAUGAGUUAAGUUAGAUCUUGAGAAUCAAAAAACAGAGUAAAGAUUGGUGGAAGAAACAUUAACAGUGUUGGAUAUGCUGAUGAUACAACUCUCAGAAACAGAAAGACAUGGAACAUCUGAUCAAGAAAGAAAGUGAGAAUUUUGAUCUGUUUCUGAACUUCAAAAAGACCAAGCUCAUGAUCACUGCAAGGAAUGGAAACAAAAUAGAAAUUGACGGUGAACAGAUAGAAUGCAUAGAAAAAUUCACUUUCCUAGUAUUGCAGAUAGCUCAAAGUGGUGAAUCCAGCCCAGAAAUAAAAUAUCUGAUUGCACUGGAUCGCAUAGCAGAAAUGAACAUGAAUCAAAUAUGAAAAAGCAAGGAUAUCAACCUGGCAACUAAAUAUGGAGAACAUUGGCUGGCUAAAAUAACUAAUUCAGUUGGGUGAGUGCAGAAGAGAAUUCCCAGACUUCUUUUUAACUAUAAAAUUACAGUGCUGUUCCAGACAGAAGCAGCUGAAAAGUUUGUUCAUUGAAUUGCUGAGUCCAUUUGACAGUCCAUUUCCAAAACUGGAGUAGAUUGUGUAUCUAGAAAACAGUUGUUGAAAAGUUUUAUAAUAGUGAUACCAGAAGAUGAUCUCUGUCAGGCCAAUUAAGUAGAAAAAGAUUUUAUACAAGUUAUUGAAUUUGAUAAGAUUAAAGUCUAAUCAAUUAAGGAAAGUCUUGAGCCAACCCAGUGGGACAAUUUGUCUGAGAAAUCAUUGCUGAUAGAUCCAUUCAAAAGAUAUAAAUGUAGUUGGCUAACUAUAAUAAACACAAUCUUGCAAUCCACUUUUGAAUAUUUAGAUUACUGGGUUGAUACAUAGGAAAUUAUAAUUAGUUUGUAGGUAUUGAUGGAACUGAAUAAAAAGUGUCUCAUCGCUAA
Molecule: long non-coding RNA, 1835 nt
Organism: Pantherophis guttatus
Lineage: Eukaryota; Metazoa; Chordata; Lepidosauria; Squamata; Colubridae
Source: RefSeq, a predicted model, not a curated record